Molecule: ribosomal RNA, 108 nt
Filed under: Mycoplasmatota bacterium
Lineage: Bacteria; Bacillati; Mycoplasmatota
Source: RNAcentral
GUAAGUAAACAUAUUGCAAAGGGUACACCUGAUUCCAUUCCGAACUCAGAAGUUAAGUUUUGUAAAGCCGACGAUUCUCGUUAAGGGUAAAAUAGGUCAUUGCUUACU